GAUGGCCUGGGUCGAGGAGGCCUGGGCGCCCACGGUGCGGCCCUUGAAGUUGGUCUGGGCGUCGGUGAUGUCCGAGUCCUUGGGCACCGCCA
RNAcentral lists this transfer RNA (92 nucleotides) under Pseudomonas fluorescens. Its description in RNAcentral is "tRNA-Arg". RNAcentral also lists the same sequence under 2 other names. Lineage: Bacteria; Pseudomonadati; Pseudomonadota; Gammaproteobacteria; Pseudomonadales; Pseudomonadaceae. The record is from RNAcentral.